GACGAACGCUGGCGGCGUGCUUAACACAUGCAAGUCGAACGGAAAGGCCCUGCUUUUGUGGAGUGCUCGAGUGGCGAACGGGUGAGUAACACGUGAGUAACCUGCCCUUGACUUUGGGAUAACUUCAGGAAACUGGGGCUAAUACCGGAUAGGAUCUCCUGCUGCAUGGUGGGGGUUGGAAAGUUUCGGCGGUUGGGGAUGGACUCGCGGCUUAUCAGCUUGUUGGUGGGGUAGUGGCUUACCAAGGCUUUGACGGGUAGCCGGCCUGAGAGGGUGACCGGCCACAUUGGGACUGAGAUACGGCCCAGACUCCUACGGGAGGCAGCAGUGGGGAAUAUUGCACAAUGGGCGGAAGCCUGAUGCAGCAACGCCGCGUGCGGGAUGACGGCCUUCGGGUUGUAAACCGCUUUCGCCUGUGACGAAGCGUGAGUGACGGUAAUGGGUAAAGAAGCACCGGCUAACUACGUG
Molecule: ribosomal RNA, 468 nt
Filed under: uncultured bacterium
Lineage: Bacteria
Description: partial 16S ribosomal RNA
Rfam family: Bacterial small subunit ribosomal RNA
Source: RNAcentral